RNAcentral lists this transfer RNA (84 nucleotides) under archaeon. Its description in RNAcentral is "tRNA-Leu". It matches the Rfam family "tRNA". Rfam says of the family: Transfer RNA (tRNA) molecules are approximately 80 nucleotides in length. The record is from RNAcentral.
GCGGGGGUGCCGGAGUGGUCAAACGGGCUAGGUUUAGGCCCUAGUGGGUUAGUCCCUACGCAGGUUCGAAUCCUGUCCUCCGCA